Molecule: long non-coding RNA, 1930 nt
Filed under: Oreochromis niloticus (Nile tilapia)
Lineage: Eukaryota; Metazoa; Chordata; Actinopteri; Cichliformes; Cichlidae
Description: lncRNA (ENSONIG00000032565.1)
Source: RNAcentral
GGCAUCUUUGGAAAAGAAGAAGCGUGGAAUUUACUCCACUGGGAGCUGGAAGUCACUGCCUUGGAAAUCAGGUUAUUGGAAGUGUUUUUGUCACCCUGUUUUCACUUUUUCAAACUCACAGCCUUCUGAAUGCUGACUUUCAUCCUGACUUUGAAUCCUGCUUUUAUGACACAAUGGUCCAACCAGAAUGGACCCAGCAGACUCUGACCCUGUUGAGCGUGUCCUAUCACUUAAGGCAGGGGUGUCAAACUCCAGGCCUCGGGGGCCAGCGUCCUGCAGGUUUUAGAUAUCACCCUGGGUCAACACACCUGAAUCAAAUUAGUUCAUUACCAGGCCUCUGGAGAACUUCAAGAGAUGUUGAGGUUAUUUAGCCAUUUAAAUCAACUGUGUUGGAUCAAGGACACACCUAAAACCUGCAGGACACCGGCCCUCGAGGCCUGGAGUUUGACACCUGUGACUUAAGGGGAACCAAUUGGAUAGACACGAAAAAAUGCUGCAACACAUCUCCAAGGACCAGAGCUCCACGCAACAACUCUUCAUGGAAAUAAAAGGAGUUAUCUUCUGUAGUCAUGGUAAGCUGUCUGGACCAGAGUUAGUGGUAAGAGUCAGCCCGGGCGAUAACAUCACUCUUCACUGUGACUGCCAAAGAUCAAGCGGCAAAUUCAUAGCUUGGUUUAGGAACUGUUCUCAUGAGAACCAGCCUUCACUCAUUCUAAGGACAAACUACAAAUAUGACCCAUCAUACCUUGAGGACAAAGUAAACAUUCUCAAUCCAGUCCCUCGUUUGUAUUUGGUGAAAAACCAGUCUUCUGACUCCUAUGACCUGUUGAUCAUGAACACUAUUGAUUCUGAUGAGGGUCUCUUUUUGCACAGACUCCACUGAUUCCAGCCCUUGCCCUGGUUCCAGUGUUGUGUUUUGGAUGAUGGUGUUUACUCCCGCAUUCUCUAUUUUGGCUUCCUUUGUCUCCUUUAUUUUGGUUUAUCAACUCUGUCAGAAUAAAGGUACACUAUUUCAUUAUACACAAGCCCAAACUGUAUUUUUUUUCUUUAUGAAAACAAUAUACAGUGUAUUAGUUAGCAAACUAAAUUAGCAACAAUUAAAUGCUCAAAGGUGAUGGUCUUUAUUUGUUUAUGCAGAAAAAGGUCAUCAACAGAAAAGGCCAGAUAACAGACGUCAAAGAAGACAGAAUCGGGUAAGACUAGGAAAAUUGUUUUACUAAUCUACAUUUCACUUAAGACACAUCACUUGUAUCUAUGUUUGUUUAACGAUAGCGAUACAUUCCACUCAAACAUGCCACUCAGUGUUUUAAAAUGCCAAGUCUUUGUAGUCAUUCAUUAAGUAAUUACUUACAGAAGAAAUAAUGAUUCUAAAUGACAAAUUGUUUCUCAGGAUGAAGACUUGUAUUUAACACAAGCUGUGUACUGGGUUCAGCGGGGACGUAUGCAUCAGACUGAUUCUAGAUGGAGAGAGCCUGUACACUUUGUUUCAAAAGAAUACAUGUAAAUUUCUUUCAGAAACCAUGAGAUUUUUUGCUGAUACAUUUUAUAUACAUGAAGUUAUUUUGGAUACACAGUAUUCUAUAUCAAAGUCAAUGAUGUAUUUAAAAACACUGAAAAAUUAGGUACAACUUACAUACUAACAACCACAUGAGUUGUCUAUCAUCAUCAUUAUUAAGCUGUUUAUGACGUUUGGCUCUCAGCGAAGGCGGUCGGACUUUUCUCCUCUCCUCCUUCCCCUAUCUUCCCUGCUUAGCCGCUUAUGUCCUUGUCUUGUCUCAUCUUUUUCUUACUUCCCUGGAACACUGUCUCACAGUCGGUGUCUAAAACCUAAAGAGAACUAUUGAUUUGAUCAACUGGUCUCUGAAUGCUAUUGACACCCUCUUCUCAACGAGAAGUUUGGGCUCGGGAGAGCCUGAGUGCCCUGGUGGGA